GCCGGGCGUGGUGGCGCACGCCUGUAAUCCCAGCUAUUCAGGAGGCUGAGGCAGGAGAAUCAUUUGAACCCAGGAGGUAGAGGUUGCAGUGAGCCGAGAUCACAUCACUGCACUCCAGCCUGGGUGACAGAGUGAGACUCUGUCUCAA
RNAcentral lists this signal recognition particle RNA (148 nucleotides) under Gorilla gorilla gorilla (western lowland gorilla). RNAcentral's name for it is "Metazoan signal recognition particle RNA". It matches the Rfam family "Metazoan signal recognition particle RNA". Rfam says of the family: The signal recognition particle (SRP) is a universally conserved ribonucleoprotein. It is involved in the co-translational targeting of proteins to membranes. Lineage: Eukaryota; Metazoa; Chordata; Mammalia; Primates; Hominidae. The record is from Rfam by way of RNAcentral.